GGAAACAUGUCUAGCUUGCUAGAUGAUGACGAGUGGCGGACGGGUGAGUAAUACUUAGGAACAUGCCUUUGUGUGGGGGAUAACCAUUGGAAACGAUGGCUAAUACCGCAUAAUGUCUUUGGACCAAAGAGGGCUUUCGGGCUCUCGCGCAAAGAGUGGCCUAAGUGAGAUUAGCUUGUUGGUGAGGUAAAGGCUCACCAAGGCGACGAUCUCUAGCUGUUCUGAGAGGAAGAUCAGCCACACUGGGACUGAGACACGGCCCAGACUCCUACGGGAGGCAGCAGUGGGGAAUAUUGCACAAUGGGGGCAACCCUGAUGCAGCCAUGCCGCGUGUGUGAAGAAGGCCUUCGGGUUGUAAAGCACUUUCAGUUGUGAGGAAAGGUUGAUGGUUAAUACCCAUCAGCUGUGACGUUAGCAACAGAAGAAGCACCGGCUAACUCCGUGCCAGCAGCCGCGGUAAUACGGAGGGUGCGAGCGUUAAUCGGAAUUACUGGGCGUAAAGCGUUCGUAGGCGGUUGAUUAAGCAAGAUGUGAAAGCCCAGGGCUCAACCUUGGAACUGCAUUUUGAACUGGUCAACUAGAGUACUGUAGAGGGUGGUGGAAUUUCCAGUGUAGCG
RNAcentral lists this ribosomal RNA (617 nucleotides) under uncultured bacterium. Its description in RNAcentral is "bacterial SSU rRNA". It matches the Rfam family "Bacterial small subunit ribosomal RNA", at positions 68 to 680 of the family's 1533-position model. The record is from RNAcentral.